CACCUUACUGGUAAGACAUUCAGUCAACAUCUGUAGAUAUACAAGAUUUGGUAAUAUCGACCUGUAUAAGCACUAAUACAUCAUGUCAUGAAAUCACAUGAAGAUAGAUAACUGAAGCCUUCUAAUUCACCUUACUGGUAAGACAUUCAGUCAACAUCUGUUGAUAUACAAGAUUUGGUAAUAUCGACCUAUAUAAGCACUAAUACAUCAUGUCAUGGAAUCACAUGAACAUAGAUAACUGAAGCCUUCUAAUUCACCUUACUGGUAAGACAUUCAGUCAACAUCUGUUGAUAUACAAGAUUUGGUAAUAUCGACCUAUAUAAGCACUAAUACAUCAUGUCAUGGAAUUUCAAUCACAUGAAGAUAGAUAACUGAAGCCUUCUAAUUCACCUUACUGGUAAGACAUUCAGUCAACAUCUUAUAUAAGUUUGCAAAACCUGGAUACUCCUCUUGAAAACAUGCAAAUGUUUAAUUGAUAUGAAGUUCUUAUGAGGGAGGCCCCAGAUAAGUGGCUACUUUCAGCAAGUAGACCAAAUCCUAGCCCUACCAACAGAGAAAAUAGUUCUUCUUCAGACUUCUCUGAAGCUGACACAAAAUUAGCAGCCAAAUUAUAUGAUAAACUAGUUCAUAAUUAAUAUCUAUUUAUAAAAAAAAAGUUUACUAACUAAUAAUUAUACUUAGAUACUCGUAUAGGCUACUAAUCAUCACAAAAAAAUAUACUUUCAUGAAACUUUUGUCCCCAAAAUAACUUUUGUAGCUGUCAUUAUGCCUUAUAUCUUUAUUCGAAAAUUGUAUGAAUGUGAUGGUGAUAUGCCACUUAGUUAACUUUAGUGUGAAACUUUUGGGCAUAUGUGUGUGUUCUAUGCAGUUGAGUAUAUUGACUAAUCAUUACUGGAGUAACUUUAAUUUAUAAAUUAACUUAUCUUAUUGGCAAGAAGCACAAAGUUGCUGAUGUUAAGUUGUACCAUGCAUAUUUUUGAUGCUAAAACAUCCAAAAAGCUAUGUCAAAUAUUAAUAGUAUUACACUGUUACAGAGGCAUGCCAUGUGGAAGUAAGCCUUGUAAUGGAUAUCAAUGACCAAGAGAGUGGUAGUGGGCUUCGAAGCAAUGCCAAAUCCACCCUGGGGCUGAAAGGAGAAGAUUAUUUAAUAACAUUAUGUAAACCUGUAAAUGUAUACAUAGCUCCUAAACAAGUGAAAAAGGGUAUAUAAAUUCUUUGUGGAACAAUGUUAUCUUUAUGUUUAUAUGGAUAUCUGCAGAUUAUGUAGCAUUAUAAAAUUAGAGUCUUAUUACAUGUUGAAAAUUAUAAUCAAUAUAAUGUGACCCAACCUUGAGAAUUUAAGUUGUGUAGGAAAUAUUAGUAACAAAGUUUAAAAAUAGAAAACUGUGAGAGAGUCCGUGAUUUUUGUUCACAAAUGAAAGGAGAAUCUGUAAUCAAUACAAAAAUGCUUUGUGGAUUUUCGGUGCUAGCGUGAUGGUGAAUGUUGACCUUAAGUGAAAGGACAAACAACUCGUAGUUUUGUAGUUGGAUUAAAAAUACUGAUUUUAUGAAGAUGUCUUGUAUACUGGAAGGAACCAAAGGAUGUUCUUUAUCAAAACCUACCAGUUAUAAUAAACUUUGCAAGAAAUCGUUAAUGGUCUGCAUAAGAAUCCUUCAGUCGUCUGCCACCAUCAAGUGCUACGUCCUCUGAUCUAUGGACCUGUACCAUAAACAUUUGACUUCUCCUUGAAAUAAUUUUUUUAUAUUGAA
RNAcentral lists this long non-coding RNA (1749 nucleotides) under Limulus polyphemus (Atlantic horseshoe crab). Its description in RNAcentral is "uncharacterized LOC111089422". The record is from RNAcentral. Lineage: Eukaryota; Metazoa; Arthropoda; Merostomata; Xiphosura; Limulidae.